This 468-nucleotide ribosomal RNA is filed under the name uncultured bacterium. RNAcentral describes it as "partial 16S ribosomal RNA". It matches the Rfam family "Bacterial small subunit ribosomal RNA", at positions 28 to 507 of the family's 1533-position model. The record is from RNAcentral.
GACGAACGCUGGCGGCGUGCUUAACGCAUGCAAGUCGAACGGAAAGGCCCUGCUGUUGUGGGGUGCUCGAGUGGCGAACGGGUGAGUAACACGUGAGUAACCUGCCCUUGACUUUGGGAUAACUUCAGGAAACUGGGGCUAAUACCGGAUAGGAGCUCCUGCUGCAUGGUGGGGGUUGGAAAGUUUCGGCGGUUGGGGAUGGACUCGCGGCUUAUCAGCUUGUUGGUGGGGUAGUGGCUUACCAAGGCUUUGACGGGUAGCCGGCCUGAGAGGGUGACCGGCGACAUUGGGACUGAGAUACGGACCAGACGCCUACGGGAGGCAGCAGUGGGGAAUAUUGCAGAAUGGGCGGAAGCCUGAUGCAGCAACGCCGCGUGCGGGAUGACGGCCUUCGGGUUGUAAACCGCUUUCGCCGGUGACGAAGCGUGAGUGACGGUAAUGGGUAAAGAAGCACCGGCUAACUACGUG